GGCGGCGCGCCUAACACAUGCAAGUCAAACGAGAGAGAGGAAGCUUGCUUCUUCAAUCGAGUGGCGAACGGGUGAGUAACGCGUGAGGAACCUGCCUCAAAGAGGGGGACAACAGUUGGAAACGACUGCUAAUACCGCAUAAGCCCACAGCUCGGCAUCGAGCAGAGGGAAAAGGAGCAAUCCGCUUUGAGAUGGCCUCGCGUCCGAUUAGCUAGUUGGUGAGGUAAUGGCCCACCAAGGCGACGAUCGGUAGCCGGACUGAGAGGUUGAACGGCCACAUUGGGACUGAGACACGGCCCAGACUCCUACGGGAGGCAGCAGUGGGGAAUAUUGCACAAUGGGGGAAACCCUGAUGCAGCGACGCCGCGUGGAGGAAGAAGGUCUUCGGAUUGUAAACUCCUGUUGUUGAGGAAGAUAAUGACGGUACUCAACAAGGAAGUGACGGCUAACUACGUGCCGGCAGCCGCGGUAAAACGUAGGUCACAAGCGUUGUCCGGAAUUACUGGGUGUAAAGGGAGCGCAGGCGGGAAGACAAGUUGGAAGUGAAAUCUAUGGGCUCAACCCAUAAACUGCUUUCAAAACUGUUUUUCUUGAGUAGUGCAGAGGUAGGCGGAAUUCCCGGUGUAGCGGUGGAAUGCGUAGAUAUCGGGAGGAACACCAGUGGCGAAGGCGGCCUACUGGGCACCAACUGACGCUGAGGCUCGAAAGUGUGGGUAGCAAACAGGAUUAGAUACCCUGGUAAUCCACACCGUAAACGAUGAUUACUAGGUGUUGGAGGAUUGACCCCUUCAGUGCCGCAGUUAACACAAUAAGUAAUCCACCUGGGGAGUACGACCGCAAGGUUGAAACUCAAAGGAAUUGACGGGGGCCCGCACAAGCAGUGGAGUAUGUGGUUUAAUUCGACGCAACGCGAAGAACCUUACCAAGUCUUGACAUCCCUUGACGAACAUAGAAAUAUGUUUUCUCUUCGGAGCAAGGAGACAGGUGGUGCAUGGUUGUCGUCAGCUCGUGUCGUGAGAUGUUGGGUUAAGUCCCGCAACGAGCGCAACCCUUACUGUCAGUUACUACGCAAGAGGACUCUGGCAGGACUGCCGUUGACAAAACGGAGGAAGGUGGGGAUGACGUCAAAUCAUCAUGCCCUUUAUGACUUGGGCUACACACGUACUACAAUGGCGUUAAACAAAGAGAAGCAAGACCGCGAGGUGGAGCAAAACUCAGAAACAACGUCCCAGUUCGGACUGCAGGCUGCAACUCGCCUGCACGAAGUCGGAAUUGCUAGUAAUCGUGGAUCAGCAUGCCACGGUGAAUACGUUCCCGGGCCUUGCACA
This 1328-nucleotide ribosomal RNA is filed under the name uncultured bacterium. Its description in RNAcentral is "bacterial SSU rRNA". It matches the Rfam family "Bacterial small subunit ribosomal RNA", at positions 38 to 1387 of the family's 1533-position model. The record is from RNAcentral.